RNAcentral lists this ribosomal RNA (321 nucleotides) under Triticum aestivum (bread wheat). RNAcentral's name for it is "partial small subunit ribosomal RNA". The record is from RNAcentral. Lineage: Eukaryota; Viridiplantae; Streptophyta; Magnoliopsida; Poales; Poaceae.
AUGAGAGGAGAGAGGAGAGCCAUCAUCCUCUGUUCUGUUGAGAGCCAUCAUCCUCAGCUAGAAAAAAAGAGCCAUCAUCGUCCGUUCUGCUCAGCACAGUAUGCUAGUAGAUUGCUGACACGUGGCGUCAAGGAAAGAUGCCGGGCUUCAGUCCAAGCAAAGCCUCUAUCUAAAUCGGCACCAGUUGGCCUGACACGGAGAUCCUCUCUGCCACCUGAAAGGGAGGUGACGUCCGGAGCCAAAGUUUUUUUUUCCCUUGAUGGAACGGCAGGACUCAUUUCGUUUUCUGUCAGCAAAGGGAGAAGCGACCUCUGCCCAUGA